Molecule: long non-coding RNA, 457 nt
Organism: Anopheles stephensi (Asian malaria mosquito)
Lineage: Eukaryota; Metazoa; Arthropoda; Insecta; Diptera; Culicidae
Exons: 2
Source: RefSeq, a predicted model, not a curated record
CACCCGGUUGUAAGAGUGUGUGUGUGUGUGCGUCUUGUCAUUUUCGGGUUUCUCUUCAGGAAGAUGAAAACAAAAAACAGUAAGAAGAAGAACAACUAUCAUUGCGAAGUGUAAACAAUCAAUGUUAACGCCAAGAAGCUGUGGUAUUUUUCAUCAAUUUACUCAAAAUUAUGCAAGGAAAUCAUUGCGCUAGUUUUGCUUCAGUAUUACGGAGGCAUUUCAAGGGCAUUGGAGAUGGUAAGGCCACUGGGUUGUUGCUGGGUGUAUUAUGUAGACGCCAAGGUUGUUACCGCCAGACCGAGCGUUCUAACGGCAGAUUCCCGGAGAAAAAAAAAAAACAUUUAUAACCACCAUUUGACUCUGUUAUUGGGCCCUUAAACAAUAGAUGUGCAAGCUGUUUGAUGGCUAUGAUGCCAUUUCCAAUGCCAAACGAUAAACUAAAGGAUUUGUUUUUCUA